This 116-nucleotide ribosomal RNA is filed under the name Pteropus alecto (black flying fox). The record is from RNAcentral. Lineage: Eukaryota; Metazoa; Chordata; Mammalia; Chiroptera; Pteropodidae.
GUCUACGGCCAUGCCACCCUGAACAAGCAGAGAUGUCUGAUUUGGGAAGCUAAGCAGGGUAGAACCUCGUUAGUACUUAGAUAGGAGACCACUAGGAAGACUAGAUGCUGUAGGUG